This 402-nucleotide ribosomal RNA is filed under the name uncultured bacterium. RNAcentral's name for it is "bacterial SSU rRNA". It matches the Rfam family "Bacterial small subunit ribosomal RNA", at positions 355 to 774 of the family's 1533-position model. The record is from RNAcentral.
UCGGGAAAUUUGGGCAAUGGGCGAAAGCCUGACCCAGCAACGCCGCGUGAGGGAUGAAGUAUUUCGGUAUGUAAACCUCGAAAGAAUGGGAAGAAUAAAUGACGGUACCAUUUAUAAGCUCCGGCUAACUACGUGCCAGCAGCCGCGGUAAUACGUAGGGAGCAAGCGUUGUUCGGAUUUACUGGGCGUAAAGGGCGCGUAGGCGGCGCGGUAAGUCACUUGUGAAAUCUCUGAGCUUAACUCAGAACGGCCAAGUGAUACUGCUGUGCUAGAGUGCGGAAGAGGCAACCGGAAUUCUUGGUGUAGCGGUGAAAUGCGUAGAUAUCAAGAGGAACACCUGAGGCGAAGGCGGGUUGCUGGGCCGACACUGACGCUGAUGCGCGAAAGCCAGGGGAGCAAACG